Molecule: ribosomal RNA, 367 nt
Filed under: uncultured bacterium
Lineage: Bacteria
Description: bacterial SSU rRNA
Rfam family: Bacterial small subunit ribosomal RNA
Source: RNAcentral
GAAGGUGGCAAGCGUUGUUCGGAUUUACUGGGCGUACGGGGAGCGUAGGCGGUUCGGUAAGCCCUCUGUGAAAUCUCCAGGCUUAACCUGGAACAGUCGGAGGGGACUGCUGGGCUAGAGGACGGGAGAGGAGCGCGGAAUUCCCGGUGUAGCGGUGAAAUGCGUAGAGAUCGGGAGGAAGGCCGGUGGCGAAGGCGGCGCUCUGGAACGUUUCUGACGCUGAGGCUCGAAAGCGUGGGGAGCAAACAGGAUUAGAUACCCUGGUAGUCCACGCCUUAAACUAUGAAUACUAAGUGUCGGCGGUUUACCGCCKGUGCCGCAKCUWACGCAUUAAGUAUUCCGCCUGGGAAGUACKGYCGCAAGGUUG